Molecule: microRNA precursor, 98 nt
Organism: Octodon degus (degu)
Lineage: Eukaryota; Metazoa; Chordata; Mammalia; Rodentia; Octodontidae
Source: Ensembl
GUUUAGGGGUGGACCUGACGUCCCUGAGUGUAUGUGGUGAACCUGAAUUUGCCUUGGGUUUCCUCAUACUCAUUCAGGAGCGUCAGUCGCCCCUGCGC